AGGUGAGUAAGUCCUCCCGAAAUAAUGAUGAUGCCAUGACUAAUUGACAGGGGUGGGAGCAAGUAGGGGAGGGUUCAGCU
RNAcentral lists this non-coding RNA (80 nucleotides) under unclassified sequences. Its description in RNAcentral is "DUF3800-X RNA". It matches the Rfam family "DUF3800-X RNA". The record is from Rfam by way of RNAcentral.